CACGAAGGGGGCUAGCGUUGCUCGGAAUCACUGGGCGUAAAGCGCACGUAGGCGGAUUGUUAAGUCAGGGGUGAAAUCCUGGAGCUCAACUCCAGAACUGCCUUUGAUACUGGCGAUCUCGAGUCCGGGAGAGGUGAGUGGAACUGCGAGUGUAGAGGUGAAAUUCGUAGAUAUUCGCAAGAACACCAGUGGCGAAGGCGGCUCACUGGCCCGGUACUGACGCUGAGGUGCGAAAGCGUGGGGAGCAAACAGG
This 253-nucleotide ribosomal RNA is filed under the name uncultured bacterium. RNAcentral's name for it is "partial 16S ribosomal RNA". It matches the Rfam family "Bacterial small subunit ribosomal RNA", at positions 524 to 776 of the family's 1533-position model. The record is from RNAcentral.